AUUGAACGCUGGCGGCAGGCCUAACACAUGCAAGUCGAGCGGAUGAAGGGAGCUUGCUCCUGGAUUCAGCGGCGGACGGGUGAGUAAUGCCUAGGAAUCUGCCUGGUAGUGGGGGAUAACGUCCGGAAACGGGCGCUAAUACCGCAUACGUCCUGAGGGAGAAAGUGGGGGAUCUUCGGACCUCACGCUAUCAGAUGAGCCUAGGUCGGAUUAGCUAGUUGGUGGGGUAAAGGCCUACCAAGGCGACGAUCCGUAACUGGUCUGAGAGGAUGAUCAGUCACACUGGAACUGAGACACGGUCCAGACUCCUACGGGAGGCAGCAGUGGGGAAUAUUGGACAAUGGGCGAAAGCCUGAACCAGACAUGCCGCGUGUGUGAAGAAGGUCUUCGGAUUGUAAAGCACUUUAAGUUGGGAGGAAGGGCAGUAAGUUAAUAACUUGCUGUUUUGACGUUACCAACAGAAUAAGCACCGGCUAACUUCGUG
RNAcentral lists this ribosomal RNA (484 nucleotides) under uncultured bacterium. Its description in RNAcentral is "partial 16S ribosomal RNA". It matches the Rfam family "Bacterial small subunit ribosomal RNA", at positions 30 to 507 of the family's 1533-position model. The record is from RNAcentral.